CCUACGGGGGGCUGCAGUGGGGAAUAUUGGACAAUGGGGGGAACCCUGAUCCAGCCAUGCCGCGUGUGUGAAGAAGGCCCUCGGGUUGUAAAGCACUUUCAGUGAGGAAGAACGCCUGGUGGUUAAUACCCAUCAGGAAAGACAUCACUCACAGAAGAAGCACCGGCUAACUCCGUGCCAGCAGCCGCGGUAAUACGGAGGGUGCGAGCGUUAAUCGGAAUUACUGGGCGUAAAGCGCGCGUAGGUGGCUUGAUAAGCCGGUUGUGAAAGCCCCGGGCUCAACCUGGGAACGGCAUCCGGAACUGUCAAGCUAGAGUGCAGGAGAGGAAGGUAGAAUUCCCGGUGUAGCGGUGAAAUGCGUAGAGAUCGGGAGGAAUACCAGUGGCGAAGGCGGCCUUCUGGACUGACACUGACACUGAGGUGCGAAAGCUUGGGUAGCAAACAGGAUUAGAUACCCGAGUAGUC
Molecule: ribosomal RNA, 465 nt
Filed under: Vreelandella stevensii
Lineage: Bacteria; Pseudomonadati; Pseudomonadota; Gammaproteobacteria; Oceanospirillales; Halomonadaceae
Description: partial 16S ribosomal RNA
Rfam family: Bacterial small subunit ribosomal RNA
Source: RNAcentral